RNAcentral lists this ribosomal RNA (615 nucleotides) under Prunus dulcis (almond). RNAcentral describes it as "eukaryotic LSU rRNA". The stretch from base 221 to 376 matches the Rfam family "5.8S ribosomal RNA". The record is from RNAcentral. Lineage: Eukaryota; Viridiplantae; Streptophyta; Magnoliopsida; Rosales; Rosaceae.
GCCUCGACCCGAGAACUAGUUUCAAAGCGGGGGCCGAGGGGUCCUGCGGCUCCUCGUCCCCUUUAUCUCGGGGGGGUUGCGUUGCGCUCGCGCCGACCCUUCCGGGCGUACAAACGAACACCGGCGCGAAUUGCGAAGGAAAUUGAACGAGAGAGCGCGUCCCCGUCGCCCCGGAAACGGUGUGCGCGGGCGGCGUCGUCAUCUUCAAAUAUGUCAWAACGACUCUCGGCAACGGAUAUCUCGGCUCUCGCAUCGAUGAAGAACGUAGCGAAAUGCGAUACUUGGUGUGAAUUGCAGAAUCCCGUGAACCAUCGAGUCUUUGAACGCAAGUUGCGCCCGAAGCCAUUAGGCCGAGGGCACGCCUGCCUGGGCGUCACACGUCGUUGCCCCCCCAUCAACUCCUUCGGGAUUGCGGGGGGCGGAUGAUGGCCUCCCGUGCGCCUCGCCGCGCGUUGGCAUAAAUACCAAGUCCUCGGCGACGCACGCCACGACAAUCGGUGGUUGCGAGACCUCGGUUGCCCGUCGUGUGCGUUCGUCGCGCAUCGAGGGCUCGAAAAAAUGCUCGGCUCCGGCUCGGCUUUCAACGCGACCCCAGGUCAGCGGGGUUACCCGCUG